Long non-coding RNA from Bombus impatiens (common eastern bumble bee), 106 nucleotides. RefSeq lists it as uncharacterized. Lineage: Eukaryota; Metazoa; Arthropoda; Insecta; Hymenoptera; Apidae. The transcript has 3 exons. The record is from RefSeq and is a predicted model, not a curated record.
CUGUUGAGGUUAACUGAUAGAGCAACGAGUGGAUGAAUUUGUAAGAGCAAAAUAUAUUGAAAUAAGUAUAAGUACAGGUUAAUUGAUAGAGCAACGAAUGGAUGAA